RNAcentral lists this long non-coding RNA (2549 nucleotides) under Mytilus galloprovincialis (Mediterranean mussel). Lineage: Eukaryota; Metazoa; Mollusca; Bivalvia; Mytilida; Mytilidae. The record is from RNAcentral.
AGAAAACCAGGCAUAUAUAAUACUUUUAUAUUCCACUAACCAUAUAUUAUAUGAUUAUAUAUUUUUAAUUUUUGUGUUUUUGUUGAAUUUAUGCUAUUUUGCAUUGGUGUCCUUGUCUUCAAUUUCCCCCCUUUAAGACUUGCAUGUGUAGGCUGAAGGUAAAGACACAGAAGAGUGCAGGGGGAAUUCAUGAUCAGUACCCCUCUUUUGUUGACUAGCUGUAUAUUUUAAUAUAUAUAUAUCUAGUGCUGAUUCUGAUGAUAGAUAAUUAUUUUUUUAGGUUUCUUAUACUAAGUAACUGAUUAUCAUGACACUGUCAUAACAUGAGGUGCCAGGACAGGCAGGAGAUGUGAGAAGUAGCAGUUUUAAAAUUUUAUCGCGGGAAAUGUUAAUUUCAAUAGUAUUUUAUCUUUUGGUAAGUUUUAGAUAGUCUUAUAUAUAAAAUAAUUAGAAUUUUGAAUGUAUAUACAUGAGGGUUUGGAUGGGGUUAAAUGAUUAAAGAAAAAUGCCCUUAAAAAAUGAAGAUUAGAGAAUAACGGGCAAAAAAAAAUGAAAAUUAUAAGAGAAAAAAGGGGUUAAUUUUUUGAAGAUUAGAGAAAAAAAGGGGUUAAUUUUUUAAAGAUUAGAGAAAAAAAAGGGUGAAAAUUAAAUGUUUACAGAAUAACAGACCCCCCCCCCCCCAAAUCCAGACCCUCAUACAUACAUACAUGUACAUAUAGAACAUAAUUUUUUUUUUCAAAAAUAGGACAAGUGAAUUCAUGUUUAAAGUGUAAAUUAAGUUUCUAGUUUAAAAAAAUAACAUUUAAUGAAAAAACUAAGGUCAUAUAUAUAAAUGUAAAAUACUGCAAUCUUUUAAAACAGAUAAAAUAAUGUCAAAUGGCAAUUUUACACCAUGAAAUAUAGUCCUCAUUAAAACUGAUUAUUUCUGUAAUAUGCUAGAAAUAUAGGUAGGGUCAAAUAACUCUACUUUUGUACUUGAAUGUCGGUUUGAUAGUAAACUAAUGUGCAAUUUUAUAUGACUGUAAAUGAGAAAUCAGCUAAUUUUGAUUAUUUUUGUCAAAAUAGUCAAUAUUUAGAGAGUGUGUUCGGAGUUCCAAAAAAACAUAUUCUAAGUAUGAAAAUAAACAGUUUUUCUAAGACUUGCUGAUCUUACUCUUUCAUUCAUAUAAUAUUACAUUCAAUUUUGGCAAAAAUGACAAACUAUAGCAAAUUUAUAGCAACUCACCAAAAUUUGAUUAUAGCAUACCAAAAUUUUGUCAUAUUGUAAAUUAGUUCAAUACACUGUUUCAUAAGGUUUUCAUCAUCAUGUAAAUAUUGAAAUCUGUCACUAAUCAUGUGUAUUCUUCAAAUAUCUAUAAAUUUGUGAUUUUUCUUUUCUUGAUUUGAAGUUGGAGAGAAUUGGAGAUUUGAGCCACUAUAAACAUACAUGUAUAAUAUCACUGUACUAGUGUAUACAUGUUUUUUAAGGGGCCAGCUGGACACUGCCUCCUGGUGCGGGAGUUUCUCGCUACAUUGAAGACCCAUUGGUGGCCUUCAGCUGUUGUCUGCUCUAUGGUCUGGUUGUUGUCGCUUUGACACAUUCCCCAUUUCCUUUCUUAAUUUUAUGUAUAAAAUAUAUCUCUGCAUAUCUGAAGCCCCAGACUAGUAAAUUUCUUUUGGACUAGUAAGUUUUUGCAAAACUUUGUUUGAACCAAUAAGAAAAAUGUCAGAAUAUUGGUCUUUGGACUAGUAGUUGAGAAAAGAUUUUGGUGCAGACUGUAUAUAUAUAUAUCACAUUUCCUUUAUCAAAAGUUUUUUUCAAGCAGAAAAAAAAAAUGGGUUGAAGAAAAAUUAUUGAAAGCUACAUUUGUCAAAAUUAAAUAUUUGCGGAAAAUUUGCUCUUUUUAGUGGCCUCCUCUCAUGCUUGUUUCUAGCUAUAAAUUGCACUUAUCAAAGACUUAGACAGACGCAUGUUUUAUUUUACUAAACAUAUAAAUAUAUAUAUUAUAUCAGAUUUUGAAUUAUUUCUUCUAGAAUGGUGUUUUUCUAUGCAUUCUACAAACUAGUUUUCUUUAAACAAAGCUCUAAAAUACCUUGUGAAAUAUAAUUUUAGCUUUUAAAUUACAUUCUGUAGUACAUUGUAGUUGCAAAGGGAGAUAAGAUCAAUAUGUAAUAGCUUCAAAGAUAUGAAAAAAUAUAUAUGUUAUAUUUUACUAGAUUUUUGCACAUGAUCUCCUGAUAUGUUCUGAAUUUGAUCAUAGGUAUUUUUUUUUAUUGUUCAUGUAUCAUUAUGAAUUGGUUUUUUUUCUUAUUUUUGUAUGAACUAUUCUGAUCAUUCAUAAAGUCAAAUAGACAAUACCAAACUUUGAUAAAAAAAUGAUAUGCAAUGCAGUACAUAUACUAUAAAUCUAUUAAUUAAUGAUUUUUUCUUCUAGAAUGGACAUAUAUGGAACUGUAACACAGAGAAGCUGACUUGAAAGAAAUAUACUUAGUAUUUUGUGUGCUGAUAGAGAAUGACAGUCACAGACUUUUAUAAAUGUUGUAAUUCAAACAAUUAUCAUACACACAGG